RNAcentral lists this ribosomal RNA (780 nucleotides) under fungal endophyte. RNAcentral's name for it is "eukaryotic LSU rRNA". The stretch from base 357 to 780 matches the Rfam family "Eukaryotic large subunit ribosomal RNA", at positions 1 to 428 of the family's 3401-position model. The record is from RNAcentral. Lineage: Eukaryota; Fungi.
UUUAUGUAAUCUGAGCGUCUUAUUUUAAUAAGUCAAAACUUUCAACAACGGAUCUCUUGGUUCUGGCAUCGAUGAAGAACGCAGCGAAAUGCGAUAAGUAAUGUGAAUUGCAGAAUUCAGUGAAUCAUCGAAUCUUUGAACGCACAUUGCGCCCAUUAGUAUUCUAGUGGGCAUGCCUGUUCGAGCGUCAUUUCAACCCUUAAGCCUAGCUUAGUGUUGGGAAUCUACUUCUUUUAUUAGUUGUAGUUCCUGAAAUACAACGGCGGAUUUGUAGUAUCCUCUGAGCGUAUUAAUUUUUUUCUCGCUUUUGUUAGGUGCUAUAACUCCCAGCCGCUAAACCCCCAAUUUUUUGUGGUUGACCUCGGAUCAGGUAGGAAUACCCGCUGAACUUAAGCAUAUCAAUAAGCGGAGGAAAAGAAACCAACAGGGAUUGCCUUAGUAACGGCGAGUGAAGCGGCAACAGCUCAAAUUUGAAAUCUGGCCCUUGGGUCCGAAUUGUAAUUUGUAGAGGAUGAUUUUGGUGCGGUAUCUUCCGAGUUCCUUGGAACAGGACGCCUUAGAGGGUGAGAGCCCCGUACGGUUGAAUGCCUAGCCUCUGUAAAUCUCCUUCGACGAGUCGAGUAGUUUGGGAAUGCUGCUCUAAAUGGGAGGUAAAUUUCUUCUAAAGCUAAAUAUUGGCCAGAGACCGAUAGCGCACAAGUAGAGUGAUCGAAAGAUGAAAAGCACUUUGAAAAGAGGGUUAAAUAGCACGUGAAAUUGUUGAAAGGGAAGGAUUUGUGA